AGUCUGAUAGCACAACUGGUUAGUGCCUCUGCAUUAAUUGGGCCAUUGUUCGAUAGGAAUUGUCUGCAGAAGAUCCCUGUUCGAUCCGGGGUCAGGCCA
This is a non-coding RNA of Mycena latifolia, 99 nucleotides long. NCBI's taxonomy places the organism in Eukaryota, Fungi, Basidiomycota, Agaricomycetes, Agaricales, Mycenaceae. The record is from the annotation of a GenBank genome assembly.